This 455-nucleotide ribosomal RNA is filed under the name uncultured bacterium. RNAcentral describes it as "bacterial SSU rRNA". It matches the Rfam family "Bacterial small subunit ribosomal RNA", at positions 33 to 507 of the family's 1533-position model. The record is from RNAcentral.
ACGCUGGCGGCGUGCCUAACACAUGCAAGUCGAACGGGGUAAUUACUUCGGUGAUUACUUAGUGGCGAACGGGUGAGUAACGCGUGAGAAACCUGCCUUUCAGUGGGGGACAACAGUUGGAAACGACUGCUAAUACCGCAUAAUGUUAUUUGGGGGCAUCCCUGAAUAACCAAAGAUUUAUUGCUGAAAGAUGGUCUCGCGUCUGAUUAGCUAGUUGGUGGGGUAACGGCCUACCAAGGCGACGAUCAGUAGCCGACCUGAGAGGGUGAUCGGCCACAUUGGAACUGAGACACGGUCCAAACUCCUACGGGAGGCAGCAGUGGGGAAUAUUGCACAAUGGGCGAAAGCCUGAUGCAGCAACGCCGCGUGAAGGAAGAAGGUCUUCGGAUCGUAAACUUCUGUCCUUAGGGAAGAUAAUGACGGUACCUUUGGAGGAAGCCCCGGCUAACUACGUG